UACGUAGGUGGCGAGCGUUGUCCGGAUUUACUGGGCGUAAAGCGUGCGCAGGCGGUUCUCCAAGUCCGUUGUGAAAGCCCCGGGCUCAACCUGGGAAUGGCAGUGGAAACUAGGGGACUGGAAUCUGGCAGAGGGGGGUGGAAUGCCGCGUGUAGCAGUGAAAUGCGUAGAGAUGCGGCGGAACACCGAUGGCGAAGGCAGCCCCCUGGGCUGAGAUUGAUGCUCAGGCACGAAAGCGUGGGGAGCAAACAGG
RNAcentral lists this ribosomal RNA (253 nucleotides) under uncultured bacterium. RNAcentral describes it as "partial 16S ribosomal RNA". It matches the Rfam family "Bacterial small subunit ribosomal RNA", at positions 524 to 776 of the family's 1533-position model. The record is from RNAcentral.